UACGUAGGGCGCAAGCGUUAUCCGGAAUUAUUGGGCGUAAAGAGCUCGUAGGCGGUUUGUCGCGUCUGCCGUGAAAAUCCGGGGCUCAACCCCGGACUUGCGGUGGGUACGGGCAGACUAGAGUGUGGUAGGGGAGACUGGAAUUCCUGGUGUAGCGGUGAAAUGCGCAGAUAUCAGGAGGAACACCGAUGGCGAAGGCAGGUCUCUGGGCCACUACUGACGCUGAGAAGCGAAAGCGUGGGGAGCGAACAGG
RNAcentral lists this ribosomal RNA (253 nucleotides) under uncultured bacterium. Its description in RNAcentral is "partial 16S ribosomal RNA". It matches the Rfam family "Bacterial small subunit ribosomal RNA", at positions 524 to 776 of the family's 1533-position model. The record is from RNAcentral.